Molecule: ribosomal RNA, 480 nt
Filed under: uncultured bacterium
Lineage: Bacteria
Description: bacterial SSU rRNA
Rfam family: Bacterial small subunit ribosomal RNA
Source: RNAcentral
ACAUGCAAGUCGAGGGGCAGCAUAGAGUAGCAAUACUUGAUGGCGACCGGCGCACGGGUGAGUAACACGUAUGCAACCUACCUACAUCAGGGGAAGUAACCCGGAGAAAUUCGGACUAAUACCGCAUAAUACAGGGAUGCCGGCAUGGCAAUAUUUGUUAAAGAUUUAUCGGAUGUAGAUGGGCAUGCGUUCCAUUUAGCUAAGUUGGUGAGGUAACGGCUCACCAAGGCAACGAUGGAUAGGGGAACUGAGAGGUUUGUCCCCCACACUGGAACUGAGACACGGACCAGACUCCUACGGGAGGCAGCAGGUGAGGAAUAUUGGUCGAAUGGACGAGAGUCUGAACCAGCCAAAUCGCGUGAAGGAAGUAACUGCCCUACGGGUUGUAAACUUCUUUUGUACAGGAAUAAAAGACAUUACGUGUAAUGUAUUGCAUGUACUGUACGAAUAAGCAUCGGCUAACUCCGUGCCAGCAGCUGC